CAUCGUAUAAUGGCUAUUACCUCAGCCUUCCAAGCUGAUGAUGCGGGUUCGAUUCCCGCUGACGCUCCA
This 69-nucleotide transfer RNA is filed under the name Salmonella enterica. RNAcentral's name for it is "tRNA-Gly". It matches the Rfam family "tRNA". Rfam says of the family: Transfer RNA (tRNA) molecules are approximately 80 nucleotides in length. Their secondary structure includes four short double-helical elements and three loops (D, anti-codon, and T loops). The record is from RNAcentral. Lineage: Bacteria; Pseudomonadati; Pseudomonadota; Gammaproteobacteria; Enterobacterales; Enterobacteriaceae. RNAcentral also lists the same sequence under 5 other names.